Molecule: long non-coding RNA, 1278 nt
Organism: Nasonia vitripennis (jewel wasp)
Lineage: Eukaryota; Metazoa; Arthropoda; Insecta; Hymenoptera; Pteromalidae
Exons: 5
Source: RefSeq, a predicted model, not a curated record
GUUUUUUAAUCACAUAAUAUAAAUAAAGAAACUUUGAAUGAUGGCAACUGCUUGUCGGAUAGAACAACACUAUUUUUCAAGAGAUCAUUUUUUUCAAUCCAUCGCUUUUGAGCAGUAUAGCAGUAAGCAACGUAGUGGCCUAUUUGACUAUCACCCAUGGGUGAUCUUUAGCAUAAUCUGAGCUGGCAACCAAGUGUUCAACAGCUUCGAACCACUUUCCAGGAUCACGCCGUUUGGAGACCAUUGAUGCAGCUGCUCCGCGAGACGGAUAAAGGAUCUAAUGGAAUUUUAGGAAAAAGCGAGGAGGAAGACGAUCUACUAACCGUUGCAUCGGAUACUUUAUGUAACUUACUUUUAGAGUUCAGUCCUAGCAAGGAACCAAUUCUAUAGUCCGGAGGAGUCGAACUUCUCUGCUCUUUAACUAAAAGGUCAUACCCGGCGCUGAGACUGAAUGGAAUCUGGGCUCUGAUGAAUGUAGCUUUUCAAGCAGAGCAAAGAGUAAAAUCGCAGAUAUUAACGUGAUUAGGAACUGAUCAAAUUUUUCGUCUACUCGCUGAUCCGGAAUUUGCUGUCUUGAUGAAAACGUUAGGCUUAUUAAGAAAUCCCCUGUCAACCAAAACUCACAUGGAUUGAAUCAUGGCUGAUCAUGCGGCGCAUGUAAUGCAAGCUGUCAUUUUGGCUUUCGAAGAUCCAGUUCAUCCUGCCGAUGUAAAAGAGCAAGCGCUUUGUAUUCUGGCCAACGACGCAGACGGAGACCGAGCGAGAGACCAUAUAAUGACAAACGAAGAUGUUUUGAAGAAACUUAUGGAUUACAUGAUGCAUAGCAAUGUCAAACUACAAGUAGCAGCAAUAUUUUGCGUUUGCAAUCUCGUUUGGAGAGAGGAGGCUGGAGCGGCGCAGCGUCAGGCUCGUUUGAAAGAAUUGAGUUUAUAUAGGAUUUCACUGCAAUUGCGACGCACGAAGGACACACAGCUAUUUGAUAAGUACGUUGACUGUUUCUAGGAUGAAAAAGGCGUUAGCACAGUUUUUCGAUGCUUGAAGAUUCAACGAAGUGAGAGGCUCAACCGUGUUUACAGAAUAUAUAAUCAUUUACUAGGACGUUUAUUAAAUUAUUAAAUAGUAUAAAUAAGGCCCAUAUUAUAAGACCGAUGCGUGUUAUUAUAUACGAUAUAAGUUUGAAGUCAGUGGAUCUUAUCAUGAAAUUGUUGCUAGUAAGUUUGUAAAUUUUAUUGUAAAAUAAAAGAAAAAUCUAAAACCACUUAUCACAUAAACUAUAAA